CCCAAAUUAACAUGAAGAGAAAAUUACAGCACAUCCAUGAUUUUCCCUGGAAUUUGAAGUCUUAAAAUCUUCUAAAGGUGCAGUAUCAGCAUGAAGCUAUACUGGAGUAUGACCCAUGUGCAGAAUGUCAGGCAGAUAUAUGAAUCAAUACUUUUCAUCGUUCCGACACUGUAUAAUUUCAUAACUUAUGAAGUGUUAUUUAUUCAAAGGGAGCAAGGUUUGAAAAUCUUCCACCCAGACUUCAUUUGCAUAAUAAAAAAUAGCAUAAGCAGCAGUCAUCACCAGCUUAGAGAACAAUGCACGUCAAAUAAGAUUUUAUUAUAAAGUGUGGAAGCAUUUUCAACAAAAGAAUCAAGGAUUUUCAUUCUCUGUGAAAUGACAUCUAAUUGAAGAAAAAGAAAAGAAGACUGAAUUUGUGAUCUAGAUCUCAAGCCAAACCACUCACCAACCUGUCAUGGACCAGGACCCUCUUGUGUUAGGCACUGUACAAACACACAACAGAAAGACGGUCCCUGCCCAAAGAGCUUAGACAUUGUUUCAAGAGUUCAAAUAAACAGAUGACUAUGAAAGCGAAUGUCUCUCAGCUAACCUGCACUCCACAAGGGGCAAUUUUUCCUGAGGCCAACAAAUCCAAUACCUGCUUCAUUUUCAGUUAUUUGAUGAUAAUUAGAAAGCCAGUGACACCGGUGAAGAAGUGGCAUAAAAUGUUUCCUGUCAGCAAUAUUACCAGGCAAGGAGCCAACUGUCAAGUGCACUAGCUGAAUCUUCAGGGGCAUCUCCAUGAGGAUCGUAUUUCAAUAAUCAAUUUUGGAGAUACCAAAGACAGAAUAAAGAGUUGUAGAAGCCCAUUUUGAAAGUGACAGCUGUAAAUACUAACCCAGGCAUGUAUAGAAAAAGG
Molecule: long non-coding RNA, 898 nt
Organism: Mauremys reevesii (Reeves's turtle)
Lineage: Eukaryota; Metazoa; Chordata; Testudines; Geoemydidae
Exons: 8
Source: RefSeq, a predicted model, not a curated record